Molecule: ribosomal RNA, 468 nt
Filed under: uncultured bacterium
Lineage: Bacteria
Description: partial 16S ribosomal RNA
Rfam family: Bacterial small subunit ribosomal RNA
Source: RNAcentral
GACGAACGCUGGCGGCGUGCUUAACACAUGCAAGUCGAACGGAAAGGCCCUGCUUUUGUGGGGUGCUCGAGUGGCGAACGGGUGAGUAACACGUGAGUAACCUGCCCUUGACUUUGGGAUAACUUCAGGUAACUGGGGCUAAUACCGGAUAGGAGCUCCUGCUGCAUGGUGGGGGUUGGAAAGUUUCGGCGGUUGGGGAUGGACUCGCGGCUUAUCAGCUUGUUGGUGGGGUAGUGGCUUACCAAGGCUUUGACGGGUAGCCGGCCUGAGAGGGUGACCGGCCACAUUGGGACUGAGAUACGGCCCAGACUCCUACGGGAGGCAGCAGUGGGAAAUAUUGCACAAUGGGCGGAAGCCUGAUGCAGCAACGCCGCGGUCGGGAUGACGGCCUUCGGGUUGUAAACCGCUUUCGCCUGUGACGAAGCGUGAGUGACGGUAAUGGGUAAAGAAGCACCGGCUAACUACGUG